AAUCAACGCUGGCGGCGUGCCUCAGACAUGCAAGUCGAACGAUUAAAGCUCUCUUCGGAGAGUGUAUAGAGUGGCGCACGGGUGAGUAACACGUAAGUAAUCUACCUUUGAGUGGGGAAUAACAAUCGGAAACGAUUGCUAAUACCGCAUAAUGCAGCGGCAUCGCAAGAUGACAGUUGUUAAAGAUUUAUCGCUUGAAGAGGAGCUUGCGGCAGAUUAGCUAGUUGGUAAGGUAAUGGCUUACCAAGGCUACGAUCUGUAACCGGUCUAAGAGGACGGUCGGUCACACUGACACUGAAUAACGGGUCAGACUCCUACGGAGGCAGCAGUCGGGAAUUUUGGGCAAUGGGCGAAAGCCUGACCCAGCAACGCCGCGUGAAGGAUGAAGUAUUUCGGUAUGUAAACUUCGAAAGAAUGGGAAGAAUAAAUGACGGUACCAUUUAUAAGGUCCGGCUAACUACGUGCCAGCCGCCGCAGU
Molecule: ribosomal RNA, 478 nt
Filed under: uncultured bacterium
Lineage: Bacteria
Description: bacterial SSU rRNA
Rfam family: Bacterial small subunit ribosomal RNA
Source: RNAcentral